GGGGAUAUAGCUCAAGUGGUAGAGCGUGUGCUUAGCAUGCAUGAGGUCCUGGGUUCAAUCCCCAGCACCGCCA
Molecule: transfer RNA, 73 nt
Filed under: Camelus bactrianus (Bactrian camel)
Lineage: Eukaryota; Metazoa; Chordata; Mammalia; Artiodactyla; Camelidae
Also listed under: 2 other names
Rfam family: tRNA
About the family: Transfer RNA (tRNA) molecules are approximately 80 nucleotides in length. Their secondary structure includes four short double-helical elements and three loops (D, anti-codon, and T loops).
Source: Rfam by way of RNAcentral